AGUCGGGAGGCGUCGCCGCUGCCUUCGCCUCCUGCGGCGGCGGCGUAUAGGGCAGGAGGAACAGGGGAGGCGACCGGGAGUUGCAUGCGCCGGUUGGGAAGAAGCAGUACGGCCUCAUGGCCGUUAUCGGAUCGGGAUGGAGGCAAUCCAGCCUGACACAGUUGCAUUUGGACUGCAUUAGGCAAGGUCCGGUAGGGGAUGGCUCGUGUUGGGUUCAGUCCGAACCGGUCCACGGGCCGGGUUGGGUGGAAGUUGCUCAGCCUGGGAACCAGGCCGGAUGCAGUUUGAUCACCGGCUAUUCUCCGCUCCAUGCGCAUAAGGAAGUGCCCAGAGACAGCCCGGCGUUCAUGGAAAGCCUCCGCCGCUUCCACUCCGCCGACCGAAAUGAUCAUUAAGUUCGUGUAAAGCUCCUUCCUUUAUCGGAUCUGAGUAUUUGUUUCCACUUUUGUAAUCGAUUGAUUUCAUCAAAAGUCUUCCUUGGCGGAGGAGGGUGCCGGUGAUCGGGGGGAAGGAGCUGUACCUGCAUCUCUUGUAUGUAGAGGUGACUCGAAGGGGAGGGCUCGCAAAGGUCUGAUUUUUGUUUGCUUCGUCUACGAUUUGAGGAGUAAAUGCAUCGUUUUUGUGAUCAAUGGGGGAGUGCAGGUGAUCGAGGAGAAGAAAUGGCGGGAACUGAUGGCGGCGUUCGAGUUCCCGCCCACCACCCACCACCAGAGCCUCCUUCGUGCUGCGCAGGUACUACCUGAGCUUGCUCCACCAUUACGAGCAGGUCUGCUACUUCCGGACGAGCGGCGCCUUCGUUCCUCCUGCAGCCUCCUCGCGAACCAGAGCGCCUCCCAGCUAUAGAGACGAACGCGGUGAAGUGGCCUCCGGCGCCGCGCCGUGCGGACUCCGAGAUAUCGCAAAAGGCCCUCGGAUGAGCCGCCGAACAAGGGUGACGCUUGCCGAUCUCUUUCCGAACCUUUCUUUUUCAGUGUGCGACCGCAUCGACUUGAUUCACGAACUCGUCGCCCGCCUUCAGCAGGGCCUCACAGCUUUACGGUCUCGGGAUCGAUCGACGGCAAGUUCGAGUACGGCUACAUGGUGACGGUGAAGAUCGGCACCGAGACACUCAGAGGCGUGCUGUAUCAUGUCCAGAGCAGCCGUCACCAGCUGCGACACCUGCAGCUCCUGAAAGUUCGAGCUAAGGACAAGGCGGCGGCAGCGCCGCCGCGACCCUGCGCACCCGAAGCCGAACAGGAGGGCCCACAAUUUCUUCUUCGCCGAGAAGCAUUCCAAGCUGAAAGUUCUGUACCUUCACAGGGAGAGUCAUGGAGCAAGCUCAACGAAAAGGACAGAAUGGAUUUUGGAAUCAAAGACAAGGAGAGAUACAAGAAAGAAAUACAGGAACACAAGGAAAGGUUG
Molecule: long non-coding RNA, 1401 nt
Organism: Zingiber officinale
Lineage: Eukaryota; Viridiplantae; Streptophyta; Magnoliopsida; Zingiberales; Zingiberaceae
Exons: 3
Source: RefSeq, a predicted model, not a curated record